This 590-nucleotide ribosomal RNA is filed under the name Salmonella enterica. RNAcentral describes it as "partial 23S ribosomal RNA". It matches the Rfam family "Bacterial large subunit ribosomal RNA", at positions 711 to 1298 of the family's 2925-position model. The record is from RNAcentral. RNAcentral also lists the same sequence under 2 other names. Lineage: Bacteria; Pseudomonadati; Pseudomonadota; Gammaproteobacteria; Enterobacterales; Enterobacteriaceae.
AGACCCGAAACCCGGUGAUCUAGCCAUGGGCAGGUUGAAGGUUGGGUAACACUAACUGGAGGACCGAACCGACUAAUGUUGAAAAAUUAGCGGAUGACCUGUGGCUGGGGGUGAAAGGCCAAUCAAACCGGGAGAUAGCUGGUUCUCCCCGAAAGCUAUUUAGGUAGCGCCUCGUGAAUUCAUCUCCGGGGGUAGAGCACUGUUUCGGCUAGGGGGCCAUCCCGGCUUACCAACCCGAUGCAAACUGCGAAUACCGGAGAAUGUUAUCACGGGAGACACACGGCGGGUGCUAACGUCCGUCGUGAAGAGGGAAACAACCCAGACCGCCAGCUAAGGUCCCAAAGUCAUGGUUAAGUGGGAAACGAUGUGGGAAGGCCCAGACAGCCAGGAUGUUGGCUUAGAAGCAGCCAUCAUUUAAAGAAAGCGUAAUAGCUCACUGGUCGAGUCGGCCUGCGCGGAAGAUGUAACGGGGCUAAACCAUGCACCGAAGCUGCGGCAGCGACACUGUGUGUUGUUGGGUAGGGGAGCGUUCUGUAAGCCUGUGAAGGUGUGUCGUGAGGCAUGCUGGAGGUAUCAGAAGUGCGAAUGCU